UAAUUUUCUCGGCCUUUUGGCCAAGAUCAAGCAUAGUACCUCUUCUUAUCUGUUUAAUACUUGAGUUUCCUUAGUAAUUAUUUACAGUAGUUAUGACCAUUU
Molecule: small nuclear RNA, 102 nt
Filed under: Punica granatum (pomegranate)
Lineage: Eukaryota; Viridiplantae; Streptophyta; Magnoliopsida; Myrtales; Lythraceae
Description: U2 spliceosomal RNA
Rfam family: U2 spliceosomal RNA
About the family: U2 is a small nuclear RNA (snRNA) component of the spliceosome (involved in pre-mRNA splicing). Complementary binding between U2 snRNA (in an area lying towards the 5' end but 3' to hairpin I) and the branchpoint sequence (BPS) of the intron results the bulging out of an unpaired adenosine, on the BPS, which initiates a nucleophilic attack at the intronic 5' splice site, thus starting the first of two transesterification reactions that mediate splicing.
Source: Rfam by way of RNAcentral